This 72-nucleotide transfer RNA is filed under the name Phrynosoma platyrhinos (Desert horned lizard). RNAcentral describes it as "tRNA-OTHER". The record is from RNAcentral. Lineage: Eukaryota; Metazoa; Chordata; Lepidosauria; Squamata; Phrynosomatidae.
GCCAGCGUAAUGUAGUGGUUUGAGCGUCAGACUAGGACUCUGGAGACUAGGGUUCGAAUCUCCACUCAGUUC